Molecule: ribosomal RNA, 1532 nt
Filed under: Lactiplantibacillus pentosus
Lineage: Bacteria; Bacillati; Bacillota; Bacilli; Lactobacillales; Lactobacillaceae
Description: Lactobacillus pentosus 16S ribosomal RNA
Rfam family: Bacterial small subunit ribosomal RNA
Source: RNAcentral
AGAGUUUGAUCCUGGCUCAGGACGAACGCUGGCGGCGUGCCUAAUACAUGCAAGUCGAACGAACUCUGGUAUUGAUUGGUGCUUGCAUCAUGAUUUACAUUUGAGUGAGUGGCGAACUGGUGAGUAACACGUGGGAAACCUGCCCAGAAGCGGGGGAUAACACCUGGAAACAGAUGCUAAUACCGCAUAACAACUUGGACCGCAUGGUCCGAGUUUGAAAGAUGGCUUCGGCUAUCACUUUUGGAUGGUCCCGCGGCGUAUUAGCUAGAUGGUGGGGUAACGGCUCACCAUGGCAAUGAUACGUAGCCGACCUGAGAGGGUAAUCGGCCACAUUGGGACUGAGACACGGCCCAAACUCCUACGGGAGGCAGCAGUAGGGAAUCUUCCACAAUGGACGAAAGUCUGAUGGAGCAACGCCGCGUGAGUGAAGAAGGGUUUCGGCUCGUAAAACUCUGUUGUUAAAGAAGAACAUAUCUGAGAGUAACUGUUCAGGUAUUGACGGUAUUUAACCAGAAAGCCACGGCUAACUACGUGCCAGCAGCCGCGGUAAUACGUAGGUGGCAAGCGUUGUCCGGAUUUAUUGGGCGUAAAGCGAGCGCAGGCGGUUUUUUAAGUCUGAUGUGAGAGCCUUCGGCUCAACCGAAGAAGUGCAUCGGAAACUGGGAAACUUGAGUGCAGAAGAGGACAGUGGAACUCCAUGUGUAGCGGUGAAAUGCGUAGAUAUAUGGAAGAACACCAGUGGCGAAGGCGGCUGUCUGGUCUGUAACUGACGCUGAGGCUCGAAAGUAUGGGUAGCAAACAGGAUUAGAUACCCUGGUAGUCCAUACCGUAAACGAUGAAUGCUAAGUGUUGGAGGGUUUCCGCCCUUCAGUGCUGCAGCUAACGCAUUAAGCAUUCCGCCUGGGGAGUACGGCCGCAAGGCUGAAACUCAAAGGAAUUGACGGGGGCCCGCACAAGCGGUGGAGCAUGUGGUUUAAUUCGAAGCUACGCGAAGAACCUUACCAGGUCUUGACAUACUAUGCAAAUCUAAGAGAUUAGACGUUCCCUUCGGGGACAUGGAUACAGGUGGUGCAUGGUUGUCGUCAGCUCGUGUCGUGAGAUGUUGGGUUAAGUCCCGCAACGAGCGCAACCCUUAUUAUCAGUUGCCAGCAUUAAGUUGGGCACUCUGGUGAGACUGCCGGUGACAAACCGGAGGAAGGUGGGGAUGACGUCAAAUCAUCAUGCCCCUUAUGACCUGGGCUACACACGUGCUACAAUGGAUGGUACAACGAGUUGCGAACUCGCGAGAGUAAGCUAAUCUCUUAAAGCCAUUCUCAGUUCGGAUUGUAGGCUGCAACUCGCCUACAUGAAGUCGGAAUCGCUAGUAAUCGCGGAUCAGCAUGCCGCGGUGAAUACGUUCCCGGGCCUUGUACACACCGCCCGUCACACCAUGAGAGUUUGUAACACCCAAAGUCGGUGGGGUAACCUUUUAGGAACCAGCCGCCUAAGGUGGGACAGAUGAUUAGGGUGAAGUCGUAACAAGGUAGCCGUAG